RNAcentral lists this transfer RNA (64 nucleotides) under Aguriahana triangularis. Its description in RNAcentral is "tRNA-Ser". Lineage: Eukaryota; Metazoa; Arthropoda; Insecta; Hemiptera; Cicadellidae. The record is from RNAcentral.
AGUUAUUUAUCUUAUAGAAAGAAUUUAUUUUGAAAAUAAAAGAAAGAUUAACAUUUAAUAACUU